Mesocricetus auratus (golden hamster) is the source of this 954-nucleotide long non-coding RNA. RefSeq lists it as uncharacterized. The record is from RefSeq and is a predicted model, not a curated record. NCBI's taxonomy places the organism in Eukaryota, Metazoa, Chordata, Mammalia, Rodentia, Cricetidae. The transcript has 2 exons.
UUGAAGUGCAACCAGGCUUAAGACUUGGAAACUGGCCUUCUUUUUGUCUCUCGGAAGGAUAUUAGAUUGCAAAGGUGAUCAGAGGCUUAUGGAGAAACACAAAAGCAGCAUCCGUGAGGCACGAACUUCACAUACUCAACCCAGGCUUCCGGUCUGUGCUCACCUUCGAGGCCAGCCGAGCCUUACUGCCGUUUAUGACUCAUUCCUAGUAGAUGCUCCCUGUCCGGCACUGCUCUCAGCCAGCCGCAUUUUGCUGUGAGUUUUCAGGGUUGGGGGACAAAGACUGCUAAGGACAAACGUAAGCGUCACAGAAGGCUGCCGCGCUGCUGCUGCUAGCCAGGGUAAGACUGCCAAGACCCGGGGACGCCCUCUCUAAGAUGCGCCUCUCUGUCGGCUGACACGCAGGACGUCCCUGCGAACCUUCAGCGUAAAUGAAAUGCCCUUUCAACAGGAGCGUGACAGAGUGCCGUCCCCAAGUCCGGCAUGUUCCCUUCUGUAGGACCCCCGGGGGUGACUCUCCCUCUCUUCCUCGUGCUAGCUAAGUGCAUGAUCCUGACCCGGAUUCGUGUGUGCAUAAUCACAGAAUGCCGCAGCCGAGACACCGAAGCCAAGGACCCUAAUGUGACCUCUAAGACACAUCAUCCUGCGACUCGGGACACGGGCACAGGCCAGCGGGGCAAAGCAGGUUGCAGGAGACCAAGCAGGCACCUUCCAUGGAACAGCAGAGACAGCUGGGGGAGGGGCGGGACUAAGGGGGUGGCUCAUUUGGCCAAGUAUGAGACAUGAAAGUAUGAGACAUGAGUUUGCAUGCCCAGCACUCCUGGAGCAGCCAGAUGUGGCUGCGGGGCUUGAUGUGACUCCGUGAAGCUCCUUGGUCAUCCAGUCUAGUUAAAUCUGUGAGCUCCGGGUCAAGCCUCAAAAAAUAGUGUAGAGACCAUCAAGGAAGACACACAA